This 175-nucleotide ribosomal RNA is filed under the name uncultured bacterium. Its description in RNAcentral is "partial 16S ribosomal RNA". It matches the Rfam family "Bacterial small subunit ribosomal RNA", at positions 118 to 291 of the family's 1533-position model. The record is from RNAcentral.
UGAGGAACAUGACCUUCGGCGGGGGAUAGCCGGCCCAACGGCCGGGUAAUACCGCGUACGACCACAUGGGGACAUCCCUGAGUGGUGAAAGCAGCAAUGCGCCGAUGGAGUGCCUCGCGGCCUAUCAGCUAGUUGGUGAGGUAACGGCUCACCAAGGCAACGACGGGUANCUGGU